This 975-nucleotide long non-coding RNA is filed under the name Solanum lycopersicum (tomato). Its description in RNAcentral is "long non-coding RNA (SLYC_LNC000320)". The record is from RNAcentral. Lineage: Eukaryota; Viridiplantae; Streptophyta; Magnoliopsida; Solanales; Solanaceae.
AUGGAUUAUGGGUGGAAUGCCAUUUCCAAGAUCAGUGAAAAAGAAGCAAAUUCCUGGAGCUCGGUAUGUACUAUAUCUUGAUAGCAUUUGGUCUAGAUCAGGUAAACUCAUCUUUCUAUCUGCUUCAUAUUCUUUUUUCUUACUUCUUCCAUAUGUCCAAGAUAGCAUGAUAGUCAAGAAGAAAGCAGAAAUAGCAAAUGGCACCCAUCCUCCUUGUGGUAUUUUAUUGAGCAAAGAUGUCAUGAAACAACCUUCAAUUAUUAUGUAAGGCAAGAAAAAUGCCAGAAUAAGAAUGAUAUUUGUCUUCCAUAUGAUUAGCAUCACUAAUGCUGUCAAGAAUGUUGUUAUGAUCAUGACCCAGAUGACCACCACCCCUGUAGUUGAAAAAUAAAAGUUAGUUCUAUUUCUCAGCGAAGUACGCUUUAUUUGGACUGCCAGUUGUGGUUUAACUUAACAACAACAACAACAUACCUAGUGUGAUCGUACGCUAACUGUACCCUACCUUUGCGAGGUAGAGAGGUUGCUUACGAUAAGACCCCCUCGGCUCAAGAAAAGCGUUUUUCAAACAUUUUUAUACUAUUAGUUUUACUGGUUCCGAAACAUCCUCUCUACCUCCACGAGCUAGCGUAAGGUCUUUGUACACUCUAGCCUUCCUAGACCUCACCUAUGUGAUUACACUGGGUAUGUUGUUGUUGUUGAUGUAUUAAUUUUACUGAUUAUAACAGGCUGUUUACCAUUGUUACAGAUAAUCAACCCAUCCUUGCUUUAAAAAGUUGCAUAUAAUUGGUUAUUUUAAGUGUCUUGAUUGUAUUAGAUUUUUUUUUAAGUUGUCGGUGUACAAAAAGAAAUCUGAGUGAUGCUUACCGUAGGCAUUUGCUAGUUCAACACCUCCUUUGAAUCCAAGAACGAGAGUGACACAAAGAAUCAUGAGGAUGCAGUUUACCUCUGGGGAAUAGAUUUGUCCUUCAUGCUUGG